RNAcentral lists this ribosomal RNA (728 nucleotides) under uncultured bacterium. Its description in RNAcentral is "bacterial SSU rRNA". It matches the Rfam family "Bacterial small subunit ribosomal RNA", at positions 41 to 814 of the family's 1533-position model. The record is from RNAcentral.
GGUAUGCUUAACACAUGCAAGUCGAACGGUGUCUUCGGACAUAUGUUUUACGGGUGAGUAACGCGUGAGAAUCUAGCUUCAGGUCUGGGACAACCACUGGAAACGGUGGCUAAUACCGGAUGUGCCGGAAGGUGAAAGGCUUGCUGCCUGAAGAUGAGCUCGCGUCCGAUUAGCUAGUAGGUGGGGUAAGAGCCUACCUAGGCGACGAUCGGCAGCUGGCCUGAGAGGAUGACCACCCACACUGGGACUGAGACACGGCCCAUACUCCUACGGGAGGCAGCAGUGGGGAAUUUUCCGCAAUGGGCGAAAGCCUGACGGAGCAAUACCGCGUGAGGGAGGAAGGCUCUUGGGUUGUAAACCUCUUUUCUCAGGGAAGAACACAAUGACGGUACCUGAGGAAUCAGCAUCGGCUAACUCCGUGCCAGCAGCCGCGGUAAUACGGAGGAUGCAAGCGUUAUCCGGAAUGAUUGGGCGUAAAGCGUCCGCAGGUGGCUGUGUAAGUCUGCUGUCAAAGAGCAAAGCUCAACUUUGUAAAGGCAGUGGAAACUACACGGCUAGAGUGCGUUCGGGGCAGAGGGAAUUCCUGGUGUAGCGGUGAAAUGCGUAGAGAUCAGGAAGAACACCGGUGGCGAAGGCGCUCUGCUAGGCCGCAACUGACACUGAGGGACGAAAGCUAGGGGAGCGAAUGGGAUUAGAUACCCCAGUAGUCCUAGCUGUAAACGAUGGAU